RNAcentral lists this ribosomal RNA (169 nucleotides) under uncultured bacterium. Its description in RNAcentral is "partial 16S ribosomal RNA". It matches the Rfam family "Bacterial small subunit ribosomal RNA", at positions 338 to 524 of the family's 1533-position model. The record is from RNAcentral.
CCUACGGGAGGCAGCAGUGGGGAAAAUUGGACAAUGGGCGAAAGCCUGAUCCAGCAAUGCCGCGUGAGUGAUGAAGGCCUUAGGGUUGUAAAGCUCUUUUACCCGGGAUGGUAAUGACAGUACCGGGAGAAUAAGCUCCGGCUAACUCCGUGCCAGCAGCCGCGGUAAU